UGGAAAGAGACAUUGUAGG
RNAcentral lists this non-coding RNA (19 nucleotides) under Arabidopsis thaliana (thale cress). The record is from RNAcentral. Lineage: Eukaryota; Viridiplantae; Streptophyta; Magnoliopsida; Brassicales; Brassicaceae.